RNAcentral lists this transfer RNA (107 nucleotides) under Nanobdellota archaeon. RNAcentral describes it as "tRNA-Arg". It matches the Rfam family "tRNA". From Rfam's summary of the family: Transfer RNA (tRNA) molecules are approximately 80 nucleotides in length. Their secondary structure includes four short double-helical elements and three loops (D, anti-codon, and T loops). Lineage: Archaea; Nanobdellati; Nanobdellota. The record is from RNAcentral.
GGACCUGUAGCCUAGCCUGGAUAGGGCGACAAAAGAACGGGUAAGCCUCGUUUUUUCGCUAGAGCCUUCUAAGCUGUAGAUCGCAAGUUCAAAUCUUGCCAGGUCCA